RNAcentral lists this transfer RNA (66 nucleotides) under Batrachoseps wrighti (Oregon slender salamander). RNAcentral describes it as "tRNA-Val". The record is from RNAcentral. Lineage: Eukaryota; Metazoa; Chordata; Amphibia; Caudata; Plethodontidae.
CAGAGCAUAGCUUAAAACAAAGCAUUUUGCUUACACCAAAAAUAUAUCUACAUAAGAUUACUCUGA